This is a long non-coding RNA of Mirounga angustirostris (Northern elephant seal), 2894 nucleotides long. RefSeq lists it as uncharacterized. The transcript is spliced from 4 exons. The record is from RefSeq and is a predicted model, not a curated record. Lineage: Eukaryota; Metazoa; Chordata; Mammalia; Carnivora; Phocidae.
ACCGUGCGGGCCGCGCGCCGAGCCGAGCGCCGGGAGGAAGGGCGGCCGCGGCCACCGGCGGGGACGGGGCGGGGGGGGGGGGGGCUGCGUGCGACACGCGCCUUUCUCCGCCCUGCGCCGCCCGCCCGGCCCCCGGCCCCGCCGUCCGCGGAGCUGCUCUGAUCCCCGCGUCGGGGCUGCUGAUUGUUUGCCUCCCAGACGGGCUGGCUCGGUGCAAUUUCCAGACGCCUCUCUGGGCCGGGCCCUGGGGGAGCGGGGAGGAACCUGUUGCCCCGCAGCCAGGCCCCGAACCCCUCCUCCUCGGCCCUCCUGGCCCGCGCGGUGGGGCAGGGGCGGUGACCCCAUUUUGCAGGUGGCAAGACUGAGGGGCGAAGGCCCUUGGCCAGAAGCACAUCAGGAGAACUUAACAGAACUAGCAGAAAUGGGAGAACGCCUAUCGGCCCCUGUCGUUCCUCAGGGUGAGGCUCUGGGCUCAGGAGUGGACAGACAAUCUCCCUCUUUGGCCGCCUGCGUCCUCCGUCCUCCGGUGAGGAAAUGGCAGUCUUCAAGGAUCUGCAAGGAUGACAAAUCCAAAGAAGUGAAGUGGCUCAGCCAGGAGAACCACAAAAUACAAGAUGGUAGACGCAAGACCGUUCCCUCAAAUUUGGAUGAAGAUGUUGGUAACGUCGGCCUGUCAGGGUGAUCGGGGCCCAGCUGGGAUGGAAAAGCUUCCGGUGACAAGGGACUGUGACCGCAGCAGCACCCCUCCGCCGGGCGGGGGGCACAGGGGGCCUCCUCAGGCCUGUGCAUCUGGGCGCAGGACGAGCAAGACACGGGCUAUGCCUUGGAGGGACUGACACUGGAGCGAGGGAAGAGCCCAGCGUGCAGCUUAGCACCACGCCUCGAGGCAGUUGUUCGGAGCCCAGGGGGGUUGCUGGCUUGCCUGGUCUGUCCCUUCAGCACGUCUGCUAUCAUUGGCAGCCCCCUCGGGGGAGACACGGACCACCCCUCUCGCCCACCUUCUGCUGCGCCCGAGGGAGAGGUUGGCUGGGUGACUCCCCCGCCCCUCCUCUCAAGAUCCCCGGGUCACUCUGUCCUCCCAGAGUCCUCGGGAGCAGGUUUGCUGGCUUUCCCUGUGGUUCAGCUCCAAUCUGCAGUGGGAACAAGGCGAGGGCUAUAUUCAGGGUGUUGGUUUUUUUACCUUGUACUUGAAUGUUUUAAUUUUAUUUUUCAAAGAAACUUACAUUUAUUUAUACAUGUAUGUGGUUCAACUACACAUGCAUGUGGUACAGAAUUCGAGAAUACCUGCCUCCCCCGCCUUCAAGCCUCCCAGCUCUCCUCCCCAGAGGUUUUUAUUUAUUUAUGUAAUCUCUACACCGAACGUGGGACUCGAACUAACGCCCCUGAGAUCAGGAGUCACAUGUUCCUCCAACCGAGCCAACCAGUCUCACUUGGAUUUGUCCCAGAUCACCUGCCCCGAUUGAAGGCUGGGAAGAUCUAUCACUGUGUUUACUCCCCGGAAUACAGCCACGGAGCCCAGGUCGAGGGCCCAAGCCUUUUAGGGAGAGAACAAGAGAGCAGUGGGGGCUCAGCGUGCCACCUCCCCACUCCUGGAGGCCGUAGGAUGAGAAGGUCAAAGACAGGCCUGGUGAAGACAAUCAAUCUAGUGGCCAAAUAGACAAAAACUGCUCUGGGUGGGUGACAUGAUCGAGACAAGCUUCCACCUCAGGGCCUUUGCAUGUGCUGUUCGUGCUGCCUGAUGUUCUCUCCUCUCAUAUUUCUAUAUGGCUCGCUCCCUCACGUCUUUGCUUAACCGGCCCCUGCUCAGUCAGACUUUCCCUGGCCACCCUUUUUAAAUCGAAGCUCCCUCCCCCUCCCAUUUCCCUGCUUUAUUUGUCUCCAUAGAACUUCCUGCUAUCUGAUAUACUGAGUUCUUUCCCUCUCCCCCCACUCCCUUCCUUCCUUCCUUCCACUGGCUGCCUCCUUUAAUAGAAUAUGAGAACCAUGGCAAUUGUGUUUACAGAUGUAUCUCUGGUUCUCUCUUGCUGUGUAACAGAUCACCCUAAAAACUCAGCAGCUUCUUAUUAUCUCCACAGUGUCUCUGAGCCAAGAGUCCUAACAAGAUUAUAGUCAUCUCAGAGCCUGACUGGGGCUGGAGGGCUGCGCCCAAACUCACUCAUGUGGUUGUCGUUGACAGGCCUCAGGUCUGCACCGGCUGCUGGCCUGAGGCUUCAUUUCCUUGCCUGUGAGCUUCCCCAUGGGGCUGUCCACAGCCCGGCAACUGAGGGAGUGACCCCCAAAAGGAGGAGAGCAAGAGAGCGGGAGAGCGCCCAAGACGAAGCGCAGUCUGUCAUAACCCACACUGGAAGGGCUGUGCCUUCACUUCUGCCCCCCGCCACGGGUCACUCACAACCACCCUGGCACAGUAUGGGAGGGGCCCGCGGGAGGAUGUGGGUGCCAGGAUGUGGGCAGCAUCGAAGCCAUCUUGGAGGCCGGCUACCAAGCCCCCACACAGCCCUGGCAUAUAGAAGAUGCUCAAGAAAUCGGAGAAAGAAAGAAUGAAGGUAGGAAUGACUCCAGCAGAAUGCGUCUAGGCUUCGUACCCACAGGGAGCUAAGAGCCCUGACCACUGCCCCAUCCCUGAAGGAUCUUAAACACAUUGAGCUUUCCUCACCCCUCACCCCACAUCCACCACCACCUCUCCCCAGCCGGGUGACCUUGGGCAAGUUCCUCAACUCAGGGGCCUGCUGUGAGGAUUUGAAAAGACAAGGAGGGGGGCACCUGGGUGGGGGCUCAGUUGGUUGGGUGACUGCCUUUGGCUCAGGUCAUGAUCCUGGAGUCCCGGGAUCGAGUCCCGCAUCGGGCUCCCUGCUCAGCAGGGAGUCUGCUUCUCCCUCUGACCCUCCCCCUCUCAU